AGAGUUUGAUCAUGGCUCAGGAUGAACGCUAGCGGCAGGCCUAACACAUGCAAGUCGGACGGUAACAUGAGGUGCUUGCACUUUGAUGACGAGUGGCGCACGGGUGCGCAACGCGUAUAGAACCUACCCUGUACAGGGGGAUAGCCCAGAGAAAUUUGGAUUAAUACCCCGUGGUAAAUAUAAAUGGCAUCGUUUAUAUUUUAAAGUUUUCGGACGGUACAGGAUGGCUAUGCGUCCUAUUAGUUAGAUGGUGAGGUAACGGCUCACCAUGGCAGCGAUAGGUAGGGGCCCUGAGAGGGGGAUCCCCCACACUGGUACUGAGACACGGACCAGACUCCUACGGGAGGCAGCAGUGAGGAAUAUUGGACAAUGGGCGCAAGCCUGAUCCAGCCAUGCCGCGUGCAGGAAGACGGCCCUAUGGGUUGUAAACUGCUUUUAUACGGGAAGAAUAAGGGACACGUGUGUCCUGGUGACGGUACCGUAAGAAUAAGGACCGGCUAACUCCGUGCCAGCAGCCGCGGUAAUACGGAGGGUCCGAGCGUUAUCCGGAAUUAUUGGGUUUAAAGGGUCCGCAGGCGGGCAAUUAAGUCAGGGGUGAAAUGGUGCGGCUCAACCGUAGCACUGCCCUUGAUACUGGUUGUCUUGAGUCAUAGUGAAGUGGCCGGAAUAUGUAGUGUAG
RNAcentral lists this ribosomal RNA (679 nucleotides) under uncultured bacterium. RNAcentral describes it as "bacterial SSU rRNA". It matches the Rfam family "Bacterial small subunit ribosomal RNA", at positions 8 to 678 of the family's 1533-position model. The record is from RNAcentral.